ACAUAGUGUGUGAAUCUGCUUAAGCGCCGCCCGCAGGGUUUUGCUCGUAGCCGGGGGCCCCCAAAUCCCCAUCCGGUCCAGAUCCGGCCGGCCCGUAACUACCGUACGCAGCCGCGGUUUUCGUUCCUUGUCCAAGUAUUAUUUAUGUUCACGAUCUGGCGUAGAUUCAAUAUCUCCCAACCACAAAAUCAUUGUAGUGAAAUCUAUAGUUAGGUGGGUAAUUUAGAAUCCCCUACCACGAGUAACUAUAUAUUUUUAAGAAAUUUAUUUGCCUUUCCUAGAGAAUUUUUAUUAUAUAUGAUGAUGUGCACUGCAUGUGUGAAAAUCACCAAUGCUAGUAGUACUGGUAUUCUUUCAGGGUUCUCAUAUUUGAAGAAACUUUUUUUUUAUCUUUGGCAUGUCCUCCUAUCCUCCUCCGUUACAAUUCAGAUAUAUACGUAGCUAUAAAAAACUCACUAACAUAGCGAUCUUAGUCUGGGUCUGAAUCAUGUACGUACUUUCAAGAAAA
This 508-nucleotide small RNA is filed under the name Histoplasma capsulatum. RNAcentral's name for it is "hypothetical RNA". The record is from RNAcentral. Lineage: Eukaryota; Fungi; Ascomycota; Eurotiomycetes; Onygenales; Ajellomycetaceae. RNAcentral also lists the same sequence under 1 other name.